RNAcentral lists this ribosomal RNA (307 nucleotides) under uncultured eukaryote. Its description in RNAcentral is "partial 18S ribosomal RNA". It matches the Rfam family "Eukaryotic small subunit ribosomal RNA", at positions 1470 to 1796 of the family's 1831-position model. The record is from RNAcentral.
CCCUUAGACGUUCUGGGCCGCACGCGCGCUACACUGACGAAGGCAACGAGCUUUCCUUUACCGAAAGGUACGGGUAAUCUUUUGAAACUUCGUCGUGCUGGGGAUAGAUCCUUGCAAUUUUUGAUCUUAAACGAGGAAUGCCUAGUAAGCGCAAGUCAUCAACUUGCUUUGAUUACGUCCCUGCCCUUUGUACACACCGCCCGUCGCUACUACCGAUUGAAUGGUUUAGUGAGGCCUUCGGAUCCGCGACUCGUUUGUGGAGAAGUUGGACAAACUCAGUCAUUUAGAGGAAGUAAAAGUCGUAACA